This 549-nucleotide ribosomal RNA is filed under the name uncultured bacterium. Its description in RNAcentral is "bacterial SSU rRNA". It matches the Rfam family "Bacterial small subunit ribosomal RNA", at positions 355 to 896 of the family's 1533-position model. The record is from RNAcentral.
UGGGGAGUUUUGGACAAUGGGCGCAAGCCUGAUCCAGCCAUGCCGCGUGUCUGAAGAAGGCCUUCGGGUUGUAAAGGACUUUUGUCAGGGAAGAAAAGGCUGUUGCUAAUAUCGACAGCUGAUGACGGUACCUGAAGAAUAAGCACCGGCUAACUACGUGCCAGCAGCCGCGGUAAUACGUAGGGUGCGAGCGUUAAUCGGAAUUACUGGGCGUAAAGCGAGCGCAGACGGUUACUUAAGCAGGAUGUGAAAUCCCCGGGCUCAACCUGGGAACUGCGUUCUGAACUGGGUGACUAGAGUGUGUCAGAGGGAGGUAGAAUUCCACGUGUAGCAGUGAAAUGCGUAGAGAUGUGGAGGAAUACCGAUGGCGAAGGCAGCCUCCUGGGAUAACACUGACGUUCAUGCUCGAAAGCGUGGGUAGCAAACAGGAUUAGAUACCCUGGUAGUCCACGCCCUAAACGAUGUCAAUUAGCCGUUGGGCAACUUGAUUGCUUAGUAGCGUAGCUAACGCGUGAAAUUGACCGCCUGGGGAGUACGGUCGCAAGAUUA